GUGAGAAGCGCCAAGCGCAAGUAGCUUUGUGGGCGGUUCUAUGGCGAUGUUGCUAUUUUACCGGCGCAUUAAUGACUCUUGCGCCCGGCGCAUAUCUAAAAAGGCUAAUGGUGCGUUUUAAUAUCCAUCCGUCUCGGAGGUCCGAGGACGUUGCCUAGCGACACGCACAAACACGCCCCUUUUCCUCGGACGGCGAUCUCGCCAUCUCGGUUGAACUCAGUGGUGACCGAGCGAAAUUCCGAGACAGAAUUCAAGAUGGCUGCGCGCAUUGUGACUUGAAGUAUGAACUGUUUUCAUUGUGCUUGGACCACUUUGGUGGUUUAAAUGGUAAUUUCAAUCACUCGUAUUACUGCAAUACCUUACUGCGUCCGUAUCUCUGCCUAUGUACACAAAUAUAUUGUAUUUGUGUACAGCACUUUGGUCAACUACUGUUGUUUUAAAUGUGCUAUAUAAAUAAACUUGACUUGACUUGA
Molecule: long non-coding RNA, 473 nt
Organism: Gadus macrocephalus (Pacific cod)
Lineage: Eukaryota; Metazoa; Chordata; Actinopteri; Gadiformes; Gadidae
Exons: 2
Source: RefSeq, a predicted model, not a curated record